This 493-nucleotide ribosomal RNA is filed under the name uncultured bacterium. Its description in RNAcentral is "partial 16S ribosomal RNA". It matches the Rfam family "Bacterial small subunit ribosomal RNA", at positions 30 to 523 of the family's 1533-position model. The record is from RNAcentral.
AUUGAACGCUGGCGGCAUGCUUUACACAUGCAAGUCGAACGGUAACAGGUUAAGCUGACGAGUGGCGAACGGGUGAGUAAUGCAUCGGAACGUGCCCGGUCGUGGGGGAUAACGCAGCGAAAGCUGCGUUAAUACCGCAUACGAUCUAAGGAUGAAAGCGGGGGACCGUAAGGCCUCGCGCGAUCGGAGCGGCCGAUGUCAGAUUAGGUAGUUGGUGGGGUAAAGGCUCACCAAGCCAACGAUCUGUAGCUGGUCUGAGAGGACGACCAGCCACACUGGGACUGGGACACGGCCCAGACUCCUACGGGAGGCAGCAGUGGGGAAUUUUGGACAAUGGGCGAAAGCCUGAUCCAGCAAUGCCGCGUGCAGGAAGAAGGCCUUCGGGUUGUAAACUGCUUUUGUACGGAGCGAAAAGGUCUCCUCUAAUACAGGGGGCUCAUGACGGUACCGUAAGAAUAAGCACCGGCUAACUACGUGCCAGCCGCCGCUGUAA